UUUGGACAAUGGGGGCAACCCUGAUCCAGCCAUCCCGCGUGUGCGAUGAAGGCCUUCGGGUUGUAAAGCACUUUUGGCAGGGAAGAAACAGCCUGGGCUAAUAUCCCGGGCGACUGACGGUACCUGCAGAAUAAGCACCGGCUAACUACGUGCCAGCAGCCGCGGUAAUACGUAGGGUGCAAGCGUUAAUCGGAAUUACUGGGCGUAACGCGUGCGCAGGCGGUUCGGAAAGAAAGGUGUGAAAUCCCAGGUCUUAACCUUGGAACUGCACUUUNAACUACCGGGCUAGAGUACGUCAGAGGGGUGUAUAAUUCCACGUGUAGCAGUGAAAUGAGCAGAGAUGUGGAGGAAUACCGAUGGCGAAGGCAGCCCCCUGGGAUGAUACUGACGCUCAUGCACGAAAGCGUGGGGAGCAAACA
This 419-nucleotide ribosomal RNA is filed under the name uncultured bacterium. Its description in RNAcentral is "bacterial SSU rRNA". It matches the Rfam family "Bacterial small subunit ribosomal RNA", at positions 363 to 774 of the family's 1533-position model. The record is from RNAcentral.